GGAAGUAAAAAUUGUAACAAGGUUUCCGUAGGUGAACCUGCGGAAGGAUCAUUAUCGUACAAAAUGUGAGGGGCAUGCGAGGGCUGUCGCUGACCCAAAAGUCGUGCACGCCCGAGUGUGUCCUCUUGCAUAAUAAUCCAUCUCACCCUUUGUGCAUCACCGCGUGGGCACCCUUCGGGAUCAUCUCGGAGGGGGGCUCGCGUUUUCACACAAACCCCCCUUUUAAAAGUGUAGAAUGACCACAUUUAUGCAAUCAAUACAACUUUCAACAACGGAUCUCUUGGCUCUC
Molecule: unclassified non-coding RNA, 289 nt
Filed under: plant metagenome
Description: partial contains small subunit ribosomal RNA, internal transcribed spacer 1, and 5.8S ribosomal RNA
Rfam family: Eukaryotic small subunit ribosomal RNA (bases 1-54)
Source: RNAcentral